Molecule: long non-coding RNA, 10459 nt
Organism: Mugil cephalus (flathead mullet)
Lineage: Eukaryota; Metazoa; Chordata; Actinopteri; Mugiliformes; Mugilidae
Exons: 2
Source: RefSeq, a predicted model, not a curated record
CACACAGGAGGGAGGGUUUUGGAGAAAGAAGAGGGAGGAAGUGUGAAAGGGUGUCUUAGCUGGAGCUGAUCCACUCCAUUGGAGCCUCUCACUAUAGAAGGGCUGUUUGGACAAGGACAAGGCCGAGCGCAAGUGUGUGUGUGUGUGUGUGUGUGUGUGUGUGUGUGUGUGUGUGUGUGUGUGUGUGUGUGUGUGUGUGUGUGCGUGUAUCUAUGGCGACGCACCACGAUCGCCGCGAAGAGGGAAAUAGAGCCGUGUUCUGCUGUAUUUAUUGACGGCUCAAUUCAAAACGCUCGGCGGAUAACUCAGGCCGGCCCGCGCGCCUCUUAGGGGGGACACUAGACGUUUCGCCGCGUGCUGUGCGUGACUCAACUGAGCUCCCUGUUCAUCAAAGAGUGACAGCUUACCUCAGUGGAAAUUUAACUGAGUCAUCAUGUUCAGCGACUGAACCGAACAUGGAGGCUUUAGCACCUCCGCAGACACAUAUGAGCGCACGCACACAGAAACACGACCGCUUCAACCAUAGGCGGUUUUCCUCCAUUUCUGCGUCCUAUUUUUUCGCUGAUGUCGCCCUUUUCAGCACGAGGCCAUUUCUGCCAAAGUGCCAUUUAAGGGUAAAAAGACAGCGAAAUGCUAGAAUGGAGCCGCCGGUCUCCUUCUGACGCCGGAGAGCAUUGCGCCUCUGCAGGUGCUGUGCCUGUGUUCCUGGUUUGAACCCAGGAAGCGAGCCGAGGCCAAGACCUGGAUGUGGACAAGCAAUCAAGGAAUGUCUGGCACCGGCGCUUAAAGAAUGCUGCAGCGGAGCCUUUGGGCAAACUGAAUAAUUCACGGCUCAUUUUAGGCUGCGACCUCCCCGGAGAGGCGUGUUUGCUGGCGGCAGAAGUCGAAAUAAAGUCUGCGGCAUUUAAAAAUGUCGCCGGGUGAGAAAAAUCUGAGCGAACACAUGAAAAACGGCGUAAUCUAAUAAGUGAUUUCGCUGUAAAACGCAAAACGCGCUACAUCUCGAGUUAGAGCGCAGGGCUUCGGAGAGAAGGAGAAAAACAGAGACAGCGAGACAGCAUUCUUUCCCUAUGUUUAAAAAAAGCUGCUCCAGUAUUGUCUGCCAGUUACAGUUAAAACUUAAGCCAUAAAUCAACACAUCACUUCCUGUAUUGGGUCAUUAUUGUUUUGUUUGAUUUACAAUUUCUCUCUUCUUUUUUUUUUCUGUGUAUUCAGCUGAUAAGGCGUACAGUCGGGGCUUGAAAAGGCACACCCUUUGCCUGCUCUUGUUCAGCUACUAAAAAUAAGUGGUGAAGUAAUGUGAAAAACACUGCUCUAUUUACAUUCUGGUAAGUUACAGUCGCUACACUGCCUGCCUGCCUGCCUGCCUGCCUGCUUCCCUGCCUGCUUCCAGUGUGGAAUCUAGGCUGAAUGACUGAGGGGGAAAUUUCAUUGCCUUUUUUUUUUUCUCACCAGCCAAGGGACGGGGAAAAUGGUGAGAAAAUGGAGAUACUGUAUAAAUAAAGAGGACAAAGUGACCUAAGACGCCAAUGGGAGUUGGGGCCGCAGAGAUAAGAAGACACUGCAGGGCGGAUGGCGGAUACAAAUCUCCCUGGCUGAAUUUAUGAAUGAUUGGGAUCAGGCGGGCACGUGGACAGAUGUGCGCGCUCCGCUCAGAGCCUGCCAGCCGUCACGCGUUUCCUCUGACGACACCGCUGUCCACGGUGGACGGAGGGAGAGGGGAGAGGGGAGAGGGGAGAGGAGAGAGGAGAGAGGAGAGAGGAGAGAGGAGAGGCGGGCGGGGAGAUAAUGCCAAAUGCCAAGAUGAGCCACCAUCGCAGCACGCAGCUGGCAUUUUCUGUGACGCGCAUUCUUGAAAGAGGAAGCGCAUUCGUUGCAUUUUUUUAUUCGGGCUGAUUUGUUGAUUUCACUUACAUACGUGUCUGAUCGUACUGUUGUCAUUUGUUAAUAAUGUUAACACUUAGAGAUGAGUGGAGAGACUAAGUCCUGCCCUUAAUGUUGGAUUAUUUUGGAAAAAAUAACAUGCAAUCAGCAAUAUGAUGUUUUUCAAAUUAAAAUCGUCGUGUGCAACAAUAUGGCCGUCUAUUUAUCUACCUGCCUAUAUUACUGGAGACCUGUGUUGGGAGUAAUGUGUUAUAAAAGUAAUGCAGUUACUGUAAUGCAUCACUUUUUGCUGUUAGGCUCCACAAUGAACUCUCGUAAUAUGUGCAGUAUUAUUACACUCUCACCGUUCACUACUUACACUGUACUGUGUACAACCCUGUGCAAUGUCUGACAAUCAGCAUCUGUUACAAUUCAAUUACUUUUUGUUGCAAUUCAAUAUUUUUUGAAUAUAUGCCAAUGCUUGUAUAUUGUUUAGUCUGUUCCAUUUUUUAUCUUUUACAUAGUCCACCCUUUAUUCUUGUUAUUUUUCUCCCCCUAUGUAUGCUGUGCAAUUUUCUCACUGUGGGACAAAUAAAGGUUUUCUAAUUCUAAUAUAUGGCAUUACGAAAAAAUAAUUGCAAUAUUUUAUUUGGUACAAAUGUGAGUAACGUGCGUUACAAUGGAUUUUAAACCCGAAAUUAAUUAAAUCAAUUAAGUUGUGUUUUUAUACAUAUUCGAGAUUAGCAGAGGGGUGAAAACAUCCGAGCAAAGUUAACUUCCUGCCAGUGCUAGAGAAGCUGACCGGGGAGAAGAUGACUGCAGCAGCAGAGUCGGACUCUACAUUCACCUGAUGGACACCUGCUCGUUAUAUUCAGUUCGUCAGAGACGAAGAAAGUUACAGUUAAAUUCACUUUGUGUGCGAAACCAAAAGAUCUCUGUACCUCGUGAAAUAGCACAAGUAAUUUAAUGAAACAUCUAGCGUGGUGCUAUGAGUCAUAACUGUGGCCAUUUUAUUGUACUGUUGUUAGCGUUAAGCCUAGCUUAGUCAUUACGCCGUUCCAUAUCACUUUCUACUGUAUGUGAAAAUGAGCUACGCUGAAUGCAAUAAGAUCUAAUGAGAACGCACAAUCAAUAUUUCCAGUUACUUUUGGUGAAAGUAACUUAAAAGCAACGCAAACGCAAUGUAAUACCUUACAAUUCAAAGACAGUAAUAUUAUAAUGCAACUAAUUACUUUGACAGUACAGUAAGAAGCAAUGCUGAAGUUAAAACAAAUUACAAAACCUCUGGGUUUGUCUUCCUGCCUAUUCAUAGGGUCAUACUUUAACAGUUUUGUGACACUUUAUUGACUCGAACGUGUAAUUUGUGGAACAAUUCAAACAUGAACAAUGUUUUUUUUCCCUGAUAUGUGGUCCCAUUGUGGUCCACCAGCGGUGGGGACUUUCACUCUCCGAUGUGGUGCCAAGAUUUAUUUUAGCGUGGCAAGUGUGGCCAUCAAUCUACGUCGUUUUCAUUUGAAUCCACAAUGGUUCUCCUGUCGACAACGCAUCAGGAGUCACACGGUCCGAGUCCCACAGUUCACAGCAACUAACUCAUCGUCGAGAUGAAAACGGCAACCCAAAGGUGCACAUUCGUCAGUCGAGUCGAGUCGUGGAAAAAGUGAACAUUUUCUCAAGUGUUAGAUGACAGAAAAAGGCUUUUACUGUAAGGAGAUCUGAAAUCACUAGUCUCCAUCUUAAAUUACAUCAUCUGAUUUAGUCAUAAUGCUAAAAUACGGGAACAAAAUUAGAUAGAAAACGCUUUUAUUUUCACAGCAGGAAAUCAAUAAAGCUUGAAUAGGUUUAAAUCAGACAUCUACCGAGAUAAAAAUACGCCAAAAAAAGAGACUUUGUUUUUGUUUUUUUUUUGGGGGGGGGGGGGCUGCAAAAGUUAGAAACUGGUGUUUUGAAGAAAAACAAUGUACACACAGAGAACCGAAAAACAGCUCCUUGCAGCACAAAUAUCUCCAACAAUCUAGUUUUAAGCUGGAAACAAUUUAGAAGGUCUUGGGUGAGUAAAAUAAUCACGUUACAUAGCCUUGAUUAAGCCACUUAAGGACUGAUGGAGAGCGAAAUGGUUUGAUACGGAUAACAGAACAGUGGCCAAUCUUUAUUUCUUUCCACUGACUCCACUUCAUAUAUAAUUUCUUUCGGUAUUAUCUGAUGACAGCGGCUGUGGAAGCUCCACCGGAGGCUGGUGAGACCCGAAUCAGCUGAUGAUGAAACAGAGCAAGGACUCGAUCACGUAUUUUGCCACCGCUCACCCUCCCCUCACCUCCCAAAUCUCUGAUGAGGAAAAAGAAGUUUGCAUCUUAUCUGCAGGAAAUAGCAUUAGCCAAAAUUGUACUCUUGGGUUGGGUGCUUGAAAGGGAUGGCAUGGCCGCGGCCAUCAUUAGCCCUGUCCCCCGACGUGCGGCCUGCCUCUGAUCCAGAGCCAGGGCUGGGCAGGAAAGGCAGAAGGUGGCCGGGAGAGGGUAGCCAGUCCUGGGUGGGCUCCACCACUUGGGCCCCGCUAAUGGGCUGCCCACCAUCAACCUGGUAUGUCGGUAUGCAGGCCACCACCGCUCGUUCUGACGUCAGGGGAUUUUAAAUCUGCUGGAGGAGACGACCGAGAAACGGGAGCAGCCACCCGGUCCACCUAGUCCCACGCGCCGCCCCUGCGCCUUUUAACAUCCAUUUCCCAUCUUCCCAUCUCGGAGCGAUGAGAAGCCAAACAGAGCAUAAGCUUUUAGUUCUGCUCAGUUUCUUAUCUUCUGAGUGUGUUGUGCCCAUGUUUCCAUGUUUUCUCCUUUUCACAGGGAGCAAAACAGUCGUUCACAUCCCACAAUGCCCUGCACCGGCACCAAUGAGAACUUUCCCAGCAGUUUCCAGAAUGACAGCUAUUUUUCCCAUGCUCUCCUUUCAGGGAACCUAUUUGGGGCAUUAGGCUAUCAAACCAGCUGAGAAUGAAAAAUAACUCAUGGAGAAUUAAAGAAACAAUUCAACCGGGGAAAAAAAAAAAAAAUCACUUUAAGGGCACUAUAUCAGCUUUUUAUAAAAAAGAAACCCUUUUUAAAAACCUUUGACUAUACACUGAAGUGUUGCGCGAUGUUCCGUGUUCUUUAAGGAACAAUGAGAUAACCGAAAAGCAGAAUUUACAACCACUUUUGUGGCCGAAUGUGUCGGGGGUGAAUGGUUCGUCCAGCCCCGAGGCGAACCUACAACCUCCCAUUCAGAUUAACAGCCCCGUCAACGAGCGAGGCACAUCACCUUUGCUCUCUGCAUUUUUACGACACAAGCCUCCAAUCGCGACGCGGCUCUGGGGGCGGCGGGCAGCAUCGCAGCCCAAACACAGAGGAAGAGGAGCACACUGUCAGGCGCAGUGUCAAGUGUCUCCUGACGGGGAACUCAAGUGUCCUCCAUUGUGCCGUGAAAAGGUCGCGAUGUACAGGAAAGCGCGGGGGAGCCGAGCGAAAACAGGAAGGCAAGGAAAUGUAUAUUCUGUAAGUAUAGUCUUUGACACCAUUAUAAGAGCUUCUCGCAACAAUGAGACAAAAAGCUGUGACACCGCAACGCAGAGCACUGGGCCAGCUUAUCAGACGAAUACUAUUAAUACCAGGGAGACUUUGUCCCCAUGCCCCCUGGGGGAGAAAUACGAAGGAAGUCAUCGAUUCUUCCCACCAUAAUCUCUGGGAAUGACAGACCUUGCUUUUUCCCUUUUGGUCGAUGAGGGUUAUUAUUCUAAACAUUUGAAAAGGUCCACACAAGAGCUAUUUCUGUGGCAUUAGAGAGUCGGAUCCACUGUAGCACCAAUAAACCAUCGCUCCGAGAGCCUCUGCUUCCCAAGACAUGGGCCUGAUCUCUGGGGAUCACGUGUCCAUCGUGAACUCUGUCAAUCUGUCAAAACUCAAUUAAUUGACACCGUGCUCGCAGAAAAUCGUAUGCGUUUGCUUAUGUUUGCAGGAAAAAGACCUCUAGUGGCAGCAUCAAGUAUUGCCGAAGUAGCAAAACUCAAAACCUCGAGAGAGGACAAACACAGUCAACACUGGUUUCUUUUAAUCGUGACUAGAAAUUUGCCCUGAAAUUAACAAAACUUUUUUUUUUUUUUUGUUUUUGACUAUUCACCAAAACCAAAUCAGGAUAUGCUUAAGAGUAACUUGUUCGUAAAAUGUCCAAACGACUAAAAAUACUUCAAGGUGCUUCGAAUAUUAAGUUGUGUCAAUAUGAUUGAAAACUGGUCAUAUUUUUUGUGCAAACAUCAAAUUAAAUCAUAAAGUUUGAUUUAGAAACAUCUCAGAAAGCACAAGAGUUUAUAACACGUAAAACGAAGGAGAACUAUUUGAGAUUAUGCCCAGUUUCUUCAAAGGAGUUGUGUCCCUUCCAUUAAAGCAGCAUUCUGAUUAAAUUAUCGUGUUGCGACUGCGGUCGUGUUUCGUGCAACCCACCUUAGCUUUCCAGGAACCGUCCAAACGAGGAGCAGCAGGUGUGUGUGUUUGUGUUAAUGUAAAUGGAUGGUGGAAGCGCAAGAUCGCGAUUGGUGGAGUGAGUCUGUCUGUGGUUGAAAUGUGCGGUAGCAGGAAGGAGAUUGGCGAAGCACCUGGCUCCUCGCAGCUGAAUGGCUGCAGGACAACCAUCCUCCCUUCAGGUUUUCUCCUCUUUUCGUUAGUAAGGAAGGUGUUUUCUGACUUGUCAUGUUCAUUUAGUUAGUUUAGCACUUUCUACACAGAUUUGUUUGUUCUUUGUUGUUUUGACCUUUGCUGAUCUUCUGUCUUCUUCCGAAGACAGGGCGUAACAAUACACUUGUUCAAGUCAAUUAACCUGCAGACGUUGUUCAAAUGACUGCGUGUCGGGUUUCCAGCAGGGCAAUGCCUAAUUGGUAGCGUUGUUUUAUAUACCGAUCAGCCAUAAUAAUAAAACCACUGGCAGGAGAAGUAACUAACACUGACCAUCUUGUGACAAUUCAACGUUCUAUGUUCUUCUAGGAAACUUUUGGUGCUGGCGUUUGUGUGGCAUGUACCACCCACCUAGACCCCACAGCAAAGACACAGACAAUAAAAUGGUUUAGGUACAACUUAAAAACAUGAAGAACAGCACAAGGUGUUGACCUGGCCUCCAAGUUCACUAGAUCCCAAACCGAUCAAGUGUCUGUGGGACGAACUGGAACAAGUCUGAUCCACAGAGGCCCCUCCCCUAAAUGUGUAAAGGCCCAUGUUCAUUUCCAUUGAAAUCAGUAUAAGAUUUUUCAUGUAAGGCUUGUUUCCCAUUAAUUGCCUCGAGCAUGGUCUAACGUGCCGCUACAAUCUGCUAAUGAAUCGAAAAUAGUAGUACAAUAAGUGUAUCUCAGUUCGUCAAUGUUGUGGUGAAAGUGAAACUCAUCAAGGACACACUAAAUGUUUAAGUGAAACUUAUCGUUAGGCGAUGCAUGUGUUUUAGUUGAAUCUAAGUUUGACGCGUUUGCAUCUGGUAAGGAAUAUCUUCAUACACUGAUCAUAUGCAUCCACGACCCACCACUGUCAUGUAGAUGUGCAAAAAGCGUCAACAUAAUAUUAUGUUCCAACUGCCACUGUCCAAGGAAGCAAAACGGCAACCUCUGUUGUCAAGAUUAGUGCUAAAUAGUGUUAAGACGAUGUUCUGACUGGUAAACCUGUGUUUGUACUUAACAAAUGCUUUACUUAGUCGUCCACGGUAUUGGAGUAAUUCAUUGUCCCGGACAUUGUUCAGUGUACAGCCUGUUCAAGUCGGGUGUCAGGAGGAUAUAUUAUGUUCCUUAACUGCCGUAAUUAAGUUUCAAAUCUGCCUCGCAAUUCAAUUUUACUACACUCUGUAAAUAUAUACCACAUGAAAACUAUUGACAGCGCAAUCCAUGCUGUGAAAUGCUUGCAGAUGGAUAAGGAUGCCAGAGCAGCUGUCGGGACCGUUCUUGAUAGCAAACACGGUGGGCUGGAUAAUAAACUGCACAGUCGUUGUGACAGGAUGAGGAUGAGAGGAAGUCAGGCAGCGUCGGUGUAUGCACUGGUCUUGGCGUGUGUGUUUAACAUUCUUCCUCUGGCUUACUCGACCACAAAGGCUGCCUGUGUGUGUGUGUGUGGAUGUGUGUGUGGCAGGUAAAAAAAAAAAAGAAAGAAAGAAAAACAAACACUUAAUACAUAUCUAUGUCUAUAUCCAAACUGAUGAGUUACAUGGAAAUGAACUCCCUCACAAACAUGAUUGUUUGUUGGGCAAUUUAACAUUGAGGUUUAUGGGGAUGGAUUGUUCCUGCCAGCCUCAAGUGGCCGUUCAGGGAAUGGCAGUUUAUGAUAUAAUUUUUUACAGCCCCGGAGAUUAUCUUGCAAUAGUGGUGAAUCAUGACACUUUAGGAGCACGUCAGGUUAAAGUUGUGAUGACAUGCAUUUAAAGGAAUAACACGUGGACUAACCUAAAGUAACCUUAUAACACUUUUUUUUUUUUUUACACUUAUUUUGCACAAAUAAACCCUGCAUUAGAAGUCUGCUGCAACCCUGUGAUAACAGGGCAACACAAUCUUUGUCAAAUGUCUCUGUGUGUUUGUAAAUGAUCAAAUAAAUGGACAUUUCUGCAAAGAGGCUCACUGAGCUCCACCUCUGGCCCAGGUUUGCUCAGCUGCGAGGAGCAGGGCAGCUGCACAGUGCUACUCCUAACGGGCAAAGUUUGUGAACACAAGUGUUCUGCUGCUGCUGCUUGUGACAUACAAAGCACAUAAAAAGUGUAAAGUUCAAUCACACUUGAAUGCCCUGUAUCCUGAAGUGCAUGCAAAAGUACGUCAAGGAUUAAUGUUUUUUUUAAGUGUAAGUUCAUGAAAGAUGAGUUGGCUUUCAUUCAUCAGCAACUUUGGGGUUUCCUAAAGCCCUUUGUAUCGGAGGACACACAACAAUAAUGACCUGGUGACAUGCUGAAAUCAGUUAUUAAAGUAUUAUUUGCACUGGUCUUCAUUUAAUAUGAGCAUAAUUAUACUAAUAAAUAAGAUAGCAUGUGGAAACCAGUCCAUGUUAUCAUUGAGGAACAGACAUAAACAUCACCUUGUGAUUAUUAUGCUUUCUCUUCCUCUGUGAUCUACAUCCUCUGUGAAUUUUUUUGUAUCGCGGACAACGGCGCCACUUCCAUCUCGAGAAGGCAUCCAGCCACUGCUUUCCAGAGAGAUGAUAUCGGCCGUUUGAUAUACUGACUGGAACUGAUUUAAAAUACUGAAACAUUACAGUGUUUGUGUGUUAGAGUGAAUACACAAAUUAGCUUGAGUUAUCAUCGCAUGUGCACAAAUAUGCAGUUAAUGACAGGCAGCAGAACAAACCGAUGAGGAUGGAAGACGCUGAACAGCACGUUCGUCCUCUCAAUGGAAAAUCUGAGUACAAAAAAAAAAAAACAAGACCGAACAGACUGCCGUAAAGUAUUAUGCAGACUAUGGAGGAAGGAGUUUUUUUUUUACCAAAACACUUCCAGGUUAAAAUGCCACAUUAAUGAAGCAUACGUCAGACUGAGAUUCCGCUAGCACUUUGGCUAACGCAUCACCCAGAUUGAGACAAACCAAGACAAAGGCAAGCCGACAAUGCAGGCUUGGAAAUAUCUCACCACUCCUCCAACUGUUGUUCCAUGUGAGAGACUGUUCUCAGUUUCAGGCAACAUUUUAAGUAAGAAGUGGUCAGCUCUGUAUGGUAGUUUGUCUUAGUAGCUGUUAAGAUUUUUCAUGUUUUUUUGUGGAAACUGUCGAAGGUGUUUAAUAAACACGUUAAGUGCACAUAUAUGUGUAUGCCUGUAUAUAUAUUCCCUUCUUUUUUGAGUUGAAAAAUUAGAGAUUAUAGAUUAAAAAUUAAUGAUAUUUAAUCGUGAUUAAUCAAAGUUAAUCUGACUGAUCUGAUUAAUCGAUCUGAUUAAAAAUCUUAUUUGUUUGACAGCACUAUGCUUUUAUUUUUUAUUCACUACUAUGCAUUUUAUUUAUACAUUUUUGUGUAUUUAUUUUAACUUGUAUCAACUUGUAUCUCCAGAAAGUUCAAAACACAACUUAUUAAAUCACAUUGUGCUUAUACAACACGUGUGAUUUGUGGGGCAAAGAAAUUUUAAUCAGCAGUUUAAAAAGCAAAUCAGUCAUUGUGUGCCAGAAGCGACAGAAGCAGAGAAAGCACCUAAGGCUCACAUUUACAGGAAUCCAUGCUUGUGGUGGAGAAAGAGAGACACAGUAGUGGUAUCAUAUCACUGUGAUACUGAAAAUGACAGCAGUGAGGUCAAUAAUAGAACCUAUGCUGACCUUUACCUCGCUGAAAGCUCUGUCGGGGCGCACGUUGGCGAACAACGGCAUCCUCUUGAGCAACCCCGACCUGACGACACUAAUCAAUUAACCCUCUCAAACGUGCUAUGAAACUGUAGGCGGACCAAUCCCCACAACAAGUAUUAGUUUCAUUUCUAAAAUAAGAUCACAAAUAGCGUAAUGAGCAAAGAUUUCCACGACUCCCUCAGACGUCUUUUUUUUUUUUUUUUUGAUCAGAAACAACCACGAUUGAAGAAAGCUACAAGCAAGCAGAAGAAAGCCUUUCAGGCUCCUGUGGGGGGACAGACAAGCCAGCGAGACUGGUUU